Long non-coding RNA from Acanthaster planci (crown-of-thorns starfish), 1181 nucleotides. NCBI's taxonomy places the organism in Eukaryota, Metazoa, Echinodermata, Asteroidea, Valvatida, Acanthasteridae. The record is from RefSeq and is a predicted model, not a curated record.
AUGGCAUAGUAAUUCCUGGACGCGUAUUUUCAUUUACACCGUAGUCUAAGGUAUUUUGUUGUGGGGCCAUUGGCCCAUGAAAAGAGUGCUCAGUACGUAUGCGUGCGAGCAUUCGGAUUUAAAGUAUAGGGACGGAAACAUGACAUACAUGUAUAUCGCCGUUGUCAAGAAAGUCCAAAGGAUUGCAGUAGGCCUACAUGUCACUAAAACUUGGAGGACGGCUCGUUAUUGCAAAGCUUUGCUGCUGUAAUUUACGUGUAAGCUGACCAAGCCUAGAGGAAAUGACAUCUCUGUGGCCAAACUGCUCCUUUUUCAUCUCGUCUGAAUACAGAACUGACGACCAGACACUUUGAUCCUUGUCCCGGUGCCUUCUGGCAAAUAUCUCUUCAACCACAAACAUCGGGACAAUACACGUCUUACCAUCAGCAGCCCUAGCGAACAGCAGAUCUGAUUUAGCAGUCGUUUAUUGAUGCCACCAGACGCAGAAUAUUGCGCAGCGUCCCCAAAGUUUCGGACUACUCCAGUGUGCAUCAUGGUCACCAAUACACACAUGUCCAGACUGACAGCAGUUCAUAUUCCGGUCCACACCUGAAGCUGACCAACUUAAACACAUCGACCUGGACAGACCUCUGCAAGGGGAAAAAAACGUUAGCACUAGCCUAACUUCAUGUCCUCAACCCAUCAGUAGUGUAGACUCUUCUGGAGUAACCUAGAAAAAAAACAUAAGUACUGUUAUAUGUAGUACAUGCAUGGGUGGAAAUCCCGGGGGAUGGGGGUAUAUACCCCCCCACACCCACUUUUUGUGGUGGGGGUGGGCUAUUGAAUCAUCCUAGGCCGUCAGCUCAGACUGAGAAACAGGCUGUAAAAAACGAGUUCCGUUCCAGCAACGCUGAGAAUACUUUUUGAAUGCAUAAAUGUGAGUUUCUGUACAUCCCAAACGUUGUCAGAAGUUCUCCAAAAAGACCUGCAGUUUUUUAGUAAUUCCAUCUUAAAUUUAGCCAUAGUCUUGUAUGCUAUAAUGCACAAUACAUGUACAUGUAUGCACUUCUAAGGCUUUGUUUGGGCACUUCCAAGUUUCAAAUUAGAAAACUGCGAUUAAAUUUUAAUUUUGUAUUAAGAUUAUAUGUGACAAAUUAAGAAAAGACAGCACAUGACUUUUGUCAGGUGACACCCGGCCACAG